AAUGAACGCUGGCGGCGUGCCUAACACAUGCAAGUCGGAUGUGCCGCAAGGUGCAUGGCAGACGGGUGAGUAACGCGUAGGGAAUCUACCUUUUUGUGGGGAAUAACGCUCCGAAAGGAGUGGUAAUACCGCAUGAGACCGUGACCUGGGAUGGUUACGGUGAAACCUGGGGACCGCAAGGCCUGGGGCAAAAAGAGGAUCCUGCGUCUGAUUAGCUAGUUGGCGGGGUAAUGGCCCACCAAGGCGACGAUCAGUAGCCGGCCUGAGAGGAUGAUCAGUCACACUGGAACUGAGACACGGUCCAGACUCCUACGGGAGGCAGCAGUGGGGAAUAUUGGACAAUGGGCGAAAGCCUGAUCCAGCCAUGCCGCGUGUGUGAAGAAGGUCUUCGGAUUGUAAAGCACUUUAAGUCGGGAGGAAGGGCUGUAGGUUAAUACCUUGCAGCCUUGACGUUACCGACAGAAUAAGCACCGGCUAACUUCGUGCCAGCAGCCGCGGUAA
RNAcentral lists this ribosomal RNA (501 nucleotides) under uncultured bacterium. RNAcentral's name for it is "partial 16S ribosomal RNA". It matches the Rfam family "Bacterial small subunit ribosomal RNA", at positions 29 to 523 of the family's 1533-position model. The record is from RNAcentral.